CAGCCGCCGCGGGAAUACGGAGGGUGCAAGCGUUAAUCGGAAUUACUGGGCGUAAAGCGCACGCAGGCGGUCUGUCAAGUCGGAUGUGAAAUCCCCGGGCUCAACCUGGGAACUGCAUCCGAAACUGGCAGGCUAGAGUCUUGUAGAGGGGGGUAGAAUUCCAGGUGUAGCGGUGAAAUGCGUAGAGAUCUGGAGGAAUACCGGUGGCGAAGGCGGCCCCCUGGACAAAGACUGACGCUCAGGUGCGAAAGCGUGGGGAGCAAACAGGAUUAGAUACCCGCGUAGUCCCUGUCUCUUAUAC
RNAcentral lists this ribosomal RNA (301 nucleotides) under uncultured bacterium. RNAcentral describes it as "partial 16S ribosomal RNA". It matches the Rfam family "Bacterial small subunit ribosomal RNA", at positions 509 to 807 of the family's 1533-position model. The record is from RNAcentral.